This 349-nucleotide ribosomal RNA is filed under the name uncultured Bacillota bacterium. Its description in RNAcentral is "bacterial SSU rRNA". It matches the Rfam family "Bacterial small subunit ribosomal RNA", at positions 383 to 810 of the family's 1533-position model. The record is from RNAcentral. Lineage: Bacteria; Bacillati; Bacillota.
GUGAUCGAGCGACGCCGCGUGAAAGGAAGCCACGGCUAACUUCGUGCCAGCAGCCGCGGUAAGACGAAGGUGGCUAGCGUUGCUCGGAAUUACUGGGCAUAAAGCGCGCGUAGGUGGUCCUGUAAGCGGGGGAUGAAAGCCCAUGGCUCACCCAUGGAACUGUCCCUCGGACUGCAGGGCUGGAGGGCGGGAGGGGAGAAUGGAAUUCCCGGUGUAGCGGUGAAAUGCGUAGAUAUCGGGAGGAACGCCGGUGGCGAAAGCGAUUCUCUGGUCCGCUCCUGACACUGAGGCGCGAGAGCUAGGGGAGCAAACAGGAUUAGAUACCCUGGUAGUCCUAGCUGUAAACGAU